ACUCCUACGGGAGGCAGCAGUGGGGAAUCUUAGACAAUGGGGGAAACCCUGAUCUAGCCAUGCCGCGUGAUCGAUGAAGGCCUUAGGGUUGUAAAGAUCUUUCAGUGGGGAAGAUAAUGACUGUACCCACAGAAGAAGCCCCGGCUAACUCCGUGCCAGCAGCCGCGGUAAU
This 172-nucleotide ribosomal RNA is filed under the name uncultured bacterium. RNAcentral describes it as "partial 16S ribosomal RNA". It matches the Rfam family "Bacterial small subunit ribosomal RNA", at positions 335 to 524 of the family's 1533-position model. The record is from RNAcentral.